UAGGGAAUCUUCGGCAAUGGACGAAAGUCUGACCGAGCAACGCCGCGUGAGUGAAGAAGGAUUUCGGAUCGUAAAACUCUGUUGUUAGAGAAGAACAAGGACGUUAGUAACUGAACGUCCCCUGACGGUAUCUAACCAGAAAGCCACGGCUAACUACGUGCCAGCAGCCGCGGUAAUACGUAGGUGGCAAGCGUUGUCCGGAUUUAUUGGGCGUAAAGCGAGCGGAGGCGGUUUCUUAAGUCUGAUGUGAACGCCCCCGGCUCAACCGGGGAGGGUCAUUGGAAACUGGGAGACUUGAGUGCAGAAGAGGGGAGUGGAAUUCCAUGUGUAGCGGUGAAAUGCGUAGAUAUAUGGAGGAACACCAGUGGCGAAGGCGGCUCUCUGGUCUGUAACUGACGCUGAGGCUCGAAAGCGUGGGGAGCAAACAGG
RNAcentral lists this ribosomal RNA (429 nucleotides) under Gemmatimonadota bacterium. Its description in RNAcentral is "Gemmatimonadetes bacterium partial 16S ribosomal RNA". It matches the Rfam family "Bacterial small subunit ribosomal RNA", at positions 355 to 776 of the family's 1533-position model. Lineage: Bacteria; Pseudomonadati; Gemmatimonadota. The record is from RNAcentral.